UGGAUAAAACACCAAAAUCUUACUUAAAUUUGUUACUUCAAUUUGUAUACCACUAUAAAAACAAUUUAUAACUUUAAUUGUUUAAAUUUACAAAAUUAAAAUAUAUUAAGUCAAGGUGCAGUAAAAAUUUAAGAAUGAAGUGAAUUACA
RNAcentral lists this ribosomal RNA (149 nucleotides) under Rhipicephalus sp. RNAcentral's name for it is "partial small subunit ribosomal RNA". The record is from RNAcentral. Lineage: Eukaryota; Metazoa; Arthropoda; Arachnida; Ixodida; Ixodidae.